CUGGGAAGCCUGUGUACUGGAGGAUUGUUGAUUAACACUGAAAGUAAUUCAUACUGCAUCAUAUUUGCUAUGUUCUGCAUUGCAUUUAUCACCAUUAUUGUAUAAUACUACAGUUCACCUAUCCUCAACAGCCUGUUCCAGUACUAUUGCUACUCCAGUGGGGGAAUGCGUCAAACCUCCUACACCUGUAUCUGUGGAACGACAUCCUUCAAGCCACUAUAACAGUCCCAAGCCCUCAGGUUUUCAGUUCAAAGCUCUACAGUUCAACUGUAUCAUCAGAACAUGCAGCUGGCAGUAGAGAUAACAUUUAGUCUUGACAUUUUGGAGCCCAAGCUUUACUGUACUGUUUGUGCCACUGGCA
Molecule: long non-coding RNA, 361 nt
Filed under: Salmo salar (Atlantic salmon)
Lineage: Eukaryota; Metazoa; Chordata; Actinopteri; Salmoniformes; Salmonidae
Description: lncRNA (ENSSSAG00000109743.1)
Source: RNAcentral